AGUGAACGCUGGCGGUAGGCCUAACACAUGCAAGUCGAACGGCAGCACAGGAGAGCUUGCUCUCUGGGUGGCGAGUGGCGGACGGGUGAGGAAUACAUCGGAAUCUACCUUUUCGUGGAGGAUAACGUAGGGAAACUUACGCUAAUACCGCAUACGACCUACGGGUGAAAGUGGGGGACCGCAAGGCCUCACGCGAUUAGAUGAGCCGAUGUCCGAUUAGCUAGUUGGCGGGGUAAUGGCCCACCAAGGCGACGAUCGGUAGCUGGUCUGAGAGGGUGAUCAGCCACACUGGAACUGAGACACGGUCCAGACUCCUACGGGAGGCAGCAGUGGGGAAUAUUGGACAAUGGGCGCAAGCCUGAUCCAGCCAUACCGCGUGGGUGAAGAAGGCCUUCGGGUUGUAAAGCCCUUUUGUUGGGAAAGAAAUCCUGUCGAUUAAUACUCGGUGGGGAUGACGGUACCCAAAGAAUAAGCACCGGCUAACUUCGUG
Molecule: ribosomal RNA, 490 nt
Filed under: uncultured bacterium
Lineage: Bacteria
Description: partial 16S ribosomal RNA
Rfam family: Bacterial small subunit ribosomal RNA
Source: RNAcentral